Molecule: ribosomal RNA, 405 nt
Filed under: uncultured bacterium
Lineage: Bacteria
Description: partial 16S ribosomal RNA
Rfam family: Bacterial small subunit ribosomal RNA
Source: RNAcentral
AUUGAACGCUGGCGGCAGGCUUAACACAUGCAAGUCGAACGAGUGGCGGACGGGUGAGUAAUGCUUGGGAAUCUAGCUUAUGGAGGGGGAUAACUACGGGAAACUGUAGCUAAUACCGCGUACCCUGGGAUGAGCCCAAGUGGGAUUCGGUAGUUGGUGGGGUAAAGGCUCACCAAGCCGACGAUCUCUAGCUGGUCUGAGAGGAGGACCAGCCCCACGGGGACUGAGACACGUCCCAGACUCCUCCGGUAGGCAGCAGUGGGGAAUAGUGCGCAAUGGGGGCAACCUGACGCAGCCAUGCCGCGUGAAUGAAGAAGGCCUUCGGGUUGUAAAGUUCUUUCGGUAGCGAGGCGUUAUCUACAGAAGAAGCACCGGCUAACUCCGUGCCAGCAGCCGCGGUAAUAC